This 74-nucleotide transfer RNA is filed under the name Candidatus Berkelbacteria bacterium. RNAcentral's name for it is "tRNA-Ala". It matches the Rfam family "tRNA". From Rfam's summary of the family: Transfer RNA (tRNA) molecules are approximately 80 nucleotides in length. Their secondary structure includes four short double-helical elements and three loops (D, anti-codon, and T loops). The record is from RNAcentral. Lineage: Bacteria; Candidatus Berkelbacteria.
GGGCCUGUGGUCCAGUGGCAAGACGCCACAUUCGCAUUGUGGAAACGGCGGUUCGAAUCCGCCCAGGUCCACCA